Molecule: ribosomal RNA, 1346 nt
Filed under: uncultured bacterium
Lineage: Bacteria
Description: partial 16S ribosomal RNA
Rfam family: Bacterial small subunit ribosomal RNA
Source: RNAcentral
GACGAACGCCGGCGGCGUGCUUAACACAUGCAAGUCGAACGGAAAGGCCCUGCUUUUGUGGGGUGCUCGAGUGGCGAACGGGUGAGUAACACGUGAGUAACCUGCCCUUGACUUUGGGAUAACUUCAGGAAACUGGGGCUAAUACCGGAUAGGAGCUCCUGCUGCAUGGUGGGGGUUGGAAAGUUUCGGCGGUUGGGGAUGGACUCGCGGCUUAUCAGCUUGUUGGUGGGGUAGUGGCUUACCAAGGCUUUGACGGGUAGCCGGCCUGAGAGGGUGACCGGCCACAUUGGGACUGAGAUACGGCCCAGACUCCUACGGGAGGCAGCAGUGGGGAAUAUUGCACAAUGGGCGGAAGCCUGGUGCAGCAACGCCGCGUGCGGGAUGACGGCCUUCGGGUUGUAAACCGCUUUCGCCUGUGACGAAGCGUGAGUGACGGUAAUGGGUAAAGAAGCACCGGCUAACUACGUGCCAGCAGCCGCGGUGAUACGUAGGGUGCGAGCGUUGUCCGGAUUUAUUGGGCGUAAAGGGCUCGUAGGUGGUUGAUCGCGUCGGAAGUGUAAUCUUGGGGCUUAACCCUGAGCGUGCUUUCGAUACGGGUUGACUUGAGGAAGGUAGGGGAGAAUGGAAUUCCUGGUGGAGCGGUGGAAUGCGCAGAUAUCAGAAGGAACACCAGUGGCGAAGGCGGUUCUCUGGGCCUUUCCUGACGCUGAGGAGCGAAAGCGUGGGGAGCGAACAGGCUUAGAUACCCUGGUAGUCCACGCUGUAAACGGUGGGUACUAGGUGUGGGGUCCAUUCCACGGGUUCCGUGCCGUAGCUAACGCUUUAAGUACCCCGCCUGGGGAGUACGGCCGCAAGGCUAAAACUCAAAGGAAUUGACGGGGCCCCGCACAAGCGGCGGAGCAUGCGGAUUAAUUCGAUGCAACGCGUAGAACCUUACCUGGGUUUGACAUGGAUCGGGAGUGCUCAGAGAUGGGUGUGCCUCUUUUGGGGUCGGUUCACAGGUGGUGCAUGGCUGUCGUCAGCUCGUGUCGUGAGAUGUUGGGUUAAGUCCCGCAACGAGCGCAACCCUUGUUCACUGUUGCCAGCACGUUAUGGUGGGGACUCAGUGGAGACCGCCGGGGUCAACUCGGAGGAAGGUGGGGAUGACGUCAAGUCAUCAUGCCCCUUAUGUCCAGGGCCUCACGCAUGCUACAAUGGCUGGUACAGAGAGUGGCGAGCCUGUGAGGGUGAGCGAAUCUCGGAAAGCCGGUCUCAGUUCGGAUUGGGGUCUGCAACUCGACCUCAUGAAGUCGGAGUCGCUAGUAAUCGCAGAUCAGCAACGCUGCGGUGAAUACGUUCCCGGGGCU